UACGGAGGGUGCGAGCGUUAAUCGGAAUCACUGGGCGUAAAGCGCUCGUAGGUUGCUUUGUAAGUAAGGUGUGAAAUCCCACGGCUCAACCGUGGAAUUGCACUUGAUACUGCAUUGCUUGAGUUCGGGAGAGGGUAGUGGAAUUCCAGGAGGAGUGAAAUCCGUAGAGAUCUGGAGGAACACCGGUGGCGAAGGCAACUACCUGGACCAAUACUGACACUGAGGAGCGAAAGCGUGGGGAGCAAACAGG
RNAcentral lists this ribosomal RNA (250 nucleotides) under uncultured bacterium. Its description in RNAcentral is "partial 16S ribosomal RNA". It matches the Rfam family "Bacterial small subunit ribosomal RNA", at positions 524 to 776 of the family's 1533-position model. The record is from RNAcentral.